RNAcentral lists this ribosomal RNA (627 nucleotides) under Lysobacter capsici. RNAcentral describes it as "bacterial SSU rRNA". It matches the Rfam family "Bacterial small subunit ribosomal RNA", at positions 61 to 677 of the family's 1533-position model. Lineage: Bacteria; Pseudomonadati; Pseudomonadota; Gammaproteobacteria; Lysobacterales; Lysobacteraceae. The record is from RNAcentral.
GUCGAACGGCAGCACAGAGGAGCUUGCUCCUUGGGUGGCGAGUGGCGGACGGGUGAGGAAUACGUCGGAAUCUGCCUAUUUGUGGGGGAUAACGUAGGGAAACUUACGCUAAUACCGCAUACGACCUACGGGUGAAAGCGGAGGACCUUCGGGCUUCGCGCAGAUAGAUGAGCCGACGUCGGAUUAGCUAGUUGGCGGGGUAAAGGCCCACCAAGGCGACGAUCCGUAGCUGGUCUGAGAGGAUGAUCAGCCACACUGGAACUGAGACACGGUCCAGACUCCUACGGGAGGCAGCAGUGGGGAAUAUUGGACAAUGGGCGCAAGCCUGAUCCAGCCAUGCCGCGUGUGUGAAGAAGGCCUUCGGGUUGUAAAGCACUUUUGUCCGGAAAGAAAAGUUCCCGGUUAAUACCCGGGGGUCAUGACGGUACCGGAAGAAUAAGCACCGGCUAACUUCGUGCCAGCAGCCGCGGUAAUACGAAGGGUGCAAGCGUUACUCGGAAUUACUGGGCGUAAAGCGUGCGUAGGUGGUUUGUUAAGUCUGAUGUGAAAGCCCUGGGCUCAACCUGGGAAUGGCAUUGGAAACUGGCUGACUAGAGUGCGGUAGAGGGGUGUGGAAUUCCCGGUGUA